GUCUAAACGUUCUAACCGGCACCCUCGCGCCACGGCGCGAACCCGAUCUAGUUGGAUAAGAAGCAAGCGGCCAGGGAUAGCGAUCCCAUGCCAGCAUCCAUCCCCAAUCCCCACGACUGACGCGGGCGGCGACUGCCAUGGCCGGUCGGCCGUUUCUCCGGCAACUCGUGGAGAUACCACGACCCGGGUGGAGCGCUGCCGAGCCUCGCGUUGGAGGCCGGAGAAGGCUGCGCCAGAGGACUCCGGGGAGGGCGUGCCGGCCCGAUUGGGCACAGGCAAAGAUGCCCACGACCGGUCGACCGCACCACCGGCGGCAAGAGGAUCUCCCGUCCCGCUCGUCCUCGGAGUAGGAGUCACCGGGGAGGUGGGUGCCAGAUACGACGCCGUUGGAAGCGCCAUUCGCGAGCCCGAGCGCCGCUGGGCUCCAUGUGUCAGCGCCGGGGCCGGGUCGCCUCUGCGCCAGAUGCCCGUCGCUCGUGCGCCGGAUCACGCGGCCGAGGGCGGUCUCCCACCAUUGGACGCCGAUGAGGCGCCUUGCCGAUGGGGCCCGAGGGUUCGACCGCCGCCGUUCUUCGCGACGAGACUGUCCCUCAUAGAGGAAACAAAGGAUUCAUGGCCACAGCGCGCUGCAGAAACGUCGGUCCUGAGGGCGGCCGCAGUAGCGGGCACCACCACACCGACGAACACGCGAGCGAGCGAUGCUGUAGGGGGGAUCGUCGCGCAGAUGGAAUCGCUCCGCCGGGAGCGUGCUGAUAACGUGUUGAAAGGGAAAACAAGAGAACAAUCGAGAGAGCCUCGGCACAGAUGUAAAAGUGAAUAAGUGUCCUUUCAUUAGAUGAUUGUAGGUAUUUAUACAGGCAGAAGGGAUGCAUCCGUUCGGGAGAGAUGUCAGGAAUCGACGCGACAGUUGCCAACGCAAACUGGCUGCGGUUGGUACAAGGGGAGAUUCCCCCAUAAUUAACACAAGUUUAAUUGAGCUUUAACAAAGAGCACUCUGCUCGCUUGAGAAUCGACCAUGCCGACAGGAAGGUUCUUGAACCGAGAUCGAUUCAUCUUCAACCUUUUGUGGUGGAUAGUGUCAUAGGCGCAUCAGGUGCUAAAUGUGUAGUGUCAUAUGAGUUGUAUCUUGACACCGACGGAGCUAUGGAGGGCCAACUUGGUUCGUGGCCGCCUAAGGUUGGAGGAAAAAAAUAUUAGACCUUUUUUGGUUCAUAGGAUAAGAUUAUCGUAAAAUAGGAAUCUUGUAGAAAAUGAGAUGACAUGUAUCUCAAAUUCUAUGAGUAGGAAUAGGAAACAAGAUGUCAUUUGGUUGACACCAAAG
Molecule: ribosomal RNA, 1321 nt
Filed under: Triticum aestivum (bread wheat)
Lineage: Eukaryota; Viridiplantae; Streptophyta; Magnoliopsida; Poales; Poaceae
Description: partial small subunit ribosomal RNA
Source: RNAcentral